This 550-nucleotide ribosomal RNA is filed under the name uncultured bacterium. Its description in RNAcentral is "partial 16S ribosomal RNA". It matches the Rfam family "Bacterial small subunit ribosomal RNA", at positions 355 to 897 of the family's 1533-position model. The record is from RNAcentral.
UAGGGAAUCUUCCACAAUGGACGCAAGUCUGAUGGAGCAACGCCGCGUGAGUGAAGAAGGUUUUCGGACCGUAAAGCUCUGUUGUUGGUGAAGAAGGAUAGAGGUAGUAACUGGCCUUUAUUUGACGGUAAUCAACCAGAAAGUCACGGCUAACUACGUGCCAGCAGCCGCGGUAAUACGUAGGUGGCAAGCGUUGUCCGGAUUUAUUGGGCGUAAAGCGAGCGCAGGCGGAAGAAUAAGUCUGAUGUGAAAGCCCUCGGCUUAACCGAGGAAUUGCAUCGGAAACUGUUUUCUUGAGUGCAGAAGAGGAGAGUAGAACUCCAUGUGUAGCGGUGGAAUGCGUAGAUAUAUGGAAGAAUACCAGUGGCGAAGGCGGCUCUCUGGUCUGCAACUGACGCUGAGGCUCGAAAGCAUGGGUAGCGAACAGGAUUAGAUACCCUGGUAGUCCAUGCCGUAAACGAUGAGUGCUAAGUGUUGGGAGGCUUCCGCCUCUCAGUGCUGCAGCUAACGCAUUAAGCACUCCGCCUGGGGAGUACGACCGCAAGGUUGA